UUUUGACCAAUGAGUUAAUGAUUUGUGGUUAGCCUUGACAUAUGAGAGGCUUAACCUUCUUUGAUCCAAAUCAAAUUCAACUUGAUCAAAGAUCAAGUGAAUUGCUUUGUAUCCAAGAUAGGUUGCUUCUUGGUCAAGCAAAGAACCUGAAAUCCAUACAAGGUCAUUCUUCUUUUCUUUUGGCAUGGCAAGUUGUAGGAGUUUGACUUACUAGUCAUGACAUCUAACUUGUGUUUAUUUUCCUAUAGUUUU
This 252-nucleotide long non-coding RNA is filed under the name Lathyrus oleraceus (garden pea). RNAcentral's name for it is "Pisum sativum (pea) long non-coding RNA (PSAT_LNC010221)". The record is from RNAcentral. Lineage: Eukaryota; Viridiplantae; Streptophyta; Magnoliopsida; Fabales; Fabaceae.